GAUGUAAACUUCAUUUUUGUGUUUUGCCAAGAGCAAAGUUGACUUGUCCGAGCGAAGUAUGCGUGCGUCUCGAGUAUCGGCGGUGUACAAUAUCGGAGGUGUGAUGUGAUAAAAUAUAUUAUAAAAUAGUGAACAAAAGUGAAAAAUGUUAUUGUGUACCGAGCGCGUUUCGCGCGCUUAUGCAUUCCGAUGACUUGGAAAGCAGUUCUGUGCAUAGUGUGAUAUUUUAGAUUUUAUAAAAUGUGGAAUAUCAAUAGAAUAACUGAUGUGUUGUGGUGUAGCCUGCUGGUGUACCUGACGCUGCACGUGCCGCCGCUGGAGACCAGGUUGGAGGAGGUGCCCAAGUACACCAAUGUCGAGUCCCUCCAGUCCGCAGCCCCGGCGGUCACGGAGGAGCCCCGGCCGGAGCCCCGCGUGGAGCUGAAGAUGGGGAAAUGCUUCCACAUGUCCCGGGAGCACUGCCCCAAGAAGGCCGCCUGCGCGCCAGUAGAUCCCGUCUCCCGCUCUGUGUUCUGCUGUGACGUGGAUAGCUUCAGGCUGAAGGAGAGUCUGGCGCUGACUGUGACGCAGAACACCACCAACCUUCAUGUGCUGAACGCCACCAUCGACGAGUUGGACGUGUCGCAGUCCGUCUUCCGCCGCCUCAUGUCCAUGGCGCUCACUGACGGCAACAUCGGCAAGAUCGUUGGUCAGUUCCCGAAACACUCCUCGCUGGCAUGUCUCAACAUCAGCAAUAACAACCUGAGCAGCGCGACGCUCCAGUCGUCAGGGCAGAGGACGUACGCGUAUCUCUUCAACCUGACCCUGCUUGACGCUUCAGCAAACAACCUGACUGAGUUCCCGCUGUAUUUACUGCAGAGCAAUCGGAAGAUUCGCUUUGACCUAUCGGGCAACAGCUACAUGCCAUGCAAGGACUACCAGCGCGCGAUGGAGACGUCCAACAGCAGCGCAGACCUGUUCCUCAACUACAACCGCACCAAUUGUGCGCUAGACCUGCGGCAGGGCUGGUUCGAGGACGUCCAGAUAGUCCAGAUAGACCACCUGCGUGUCCAGAAGGAGUUGAACGCCAGCUGCCGAGAGAUACGCCCAGCUGCGAAUUGCACGUGCGUCGCUGAUCGGCUGAAGUUGAUAGGUGAUGCUAUCAGCCUGGUCGCGGUGGACUGCUCGGCGCGGGGGCUGACUACGCUGCCUACCAAUCUGCCUGCUAAUACGGUGAAACUAAACGUGUCGUACAAUAACAUUACCUCCCUGUCCGCGAUGUCGGACGACCCGAGCUACGAGCAGCUGCUGCACCUGGUGGCCGACCACAACGACAUCGACUCCAUCCUCGGCCUGGAGGGCACCAAGUUCGUCGACAGCUUCAUGCUGCUGUCGCUGACGCACAACAAGCUCAAGUCGAUCCCGACGUACGUGCUGUCGAACCGGUUCGUGGCGUCGGCGCCGACCUUCCUCAUCUCCGGCAACCCCAUUCACUGCGACUGCCAGACUGAGAAGCUCUUCAAGCCGUGGCUCCUGGAGAACUUGAAGAACAUCCCGGACUACAAGUCCGUGGAGUGUACCGACCGUAUGGGGCCCGUGGUGGAGCUGGUGGAGGUGGCGGUCUGCCACUCCCCGCGCGACUGGACCGACUACAUCUACUACGUCAUCACGCUUGAGGUGCUGGUGUUGGUGCUGCUCAUCAGCAAGGUGACGUACGACUACUGGGUGUUCAAGACCGCGGGCUACCUGCCCUGGCCCGCCAACAAGAUGCCGCGUCUGCCGUGCGACUGGCUCUGCGAAUGACUUUGAGUGGGAAAGAGAAAAGUUCUGGCACGCGAUUGCCAUAUUAUUGUGCGACUGGAUUCGCGAAUGAGGAGGAAGAGACUUUUGAGCUUCGUGCAGCACAUUGUGAUGGGACGCUGCGGGAAGACCGCAUUAUUCUUUCAAGUUUUAUGUCUCAUCGCGCGCGGUCAGAAAAACUUGAUGAAUAUGCGGCCCGCCCCGCUAUGCCCUGUCACAAUAUGUUACGGUUUAAUUCGGAAAUAAAAACUUCUUUAGGUUCGGCCGUAGACAGCGAGUGAUUGACAAAGAAGAUAUUAUGUCCAGUGUUUCUUUUCUGUCGCAUUCCUACUGUGGCCAUGCUAAGCCUGUAACUUGUGAGUAACGCGCGACACGUGACGUCACACGUCACAUCCAAAUGUUCUUUGUAUGAAAUAGUAUGAGGUAAGACGCACCACGCGGCAGCUAAGUGUCGCGUCGCUCCACUGCAGCGUAGUGUCGUUUAGUGCGCCUUUAGUGGCACCAAAGGAGUGCCUUUUUGUCGCUUAGUGCACCUUUAGUGGCGCUUAAGGAGUGCCUUUUAUCUCGUGCAAUGUUUAGCAUAGGAAUAAAUGCUUUGAUGUAAAUAUUUUUGUUUAUAUUCGAUGACAUGAAUUAAAACAUAAUAGGUAACAUAAACCUUUUUAGUAAUAAAACUAUUACGAGGUUUUCUUGUCUUUGUCUGGCAUAUUGAAAGUCACAAGACAAGACCAAAAAAAGACAGCGAACCUGGAAUAUACGCUACGUAUACGCUAUCUUUUUUAGUAAAGGGGUU
RNA transcript from Aricia agestis (brown argus), 2572 nucleotides. It is a transcript of the gene named protein halfway, with no coding region annotated. The record is from RefSeq and is a predicted model, not a curated record. NCBI's taxonomy places the organism in Eukaryota, Metazoa, Arthropoda, Insecta, Lepidoptera, Lycaenidae. The transcript has 11 exons.